Molecule: ribosomal RNA, 500 nt
Filed under: uncultured bacterium
Lineage: Bacteria
Description: partial 16S ribosomal RNA
Rfam family: Bacterial small subunit ribosomal RNA
Source: RNAcentral
AUUGAACGCUGGCGGAAUGCUUUACACAUGCAAGUCGAACGGCAGCACGGACUUCGGUCUGGUGGCGAGUGGCGAACGGGUGAGUAAUGUAUCGGAACGUGCCCAGUCGUGGGGGAUAACGUAGUGAAAAUUACGCUAAUACCGCAUACGAUCUAUGGAUGAAAGCGGGGGAUCGCAAGACCUCGCGCGAUUGGAGCGGCCGAUAUCAGAUUAGGUAGUUGGUGGGGUAAAGGCCCACCAAGCCAACGAUCUGUAGAUGGUCUGAGAGGACGACAAGCCACACUGGAACUGAGACACGGUCCAGACUCCUACGGGAGGCAGCAGUGGGGAAUUUUGGACAAUGGGCGAAAGCCUGAUCCAGCCAUUCCGCGUGCAGGAUGAAGGCCCUCGGGUUGUAAACUGCUUUUGUACAGAACGAAAAGGUUUCUACUAAUUCUAGGAGCUCAUGACGGUACUGUAAGAAUAAGCACCGGCUAACUACGUGCCAGCAGCCGCCGUAA